RNAcentral lists this ribosomal RNA (382 nucleotides) under uncultured eukaryote. RNAcentral describes it as "SSU rRNA". It matches the Rfam family "Eukaryotic small subunit ribosomal RNA", at positions 587 to 972 of the family's 1831-position model. The record is from RNAcentral.
AGCUCCAAUAGCGUAUAUUAAAGUUGUUGCGGUUAAAAGCUCGUAGUUGGAUUUCUGUCAAAGGUAAGGCGGUCCAUCUUAUGGAUGUGCAUCUGCCUAUGCCUUGGCAUCCUCAUGAAGAACGUUUUCGCGCUUCACUGCGUGUUUACGGUAUUCAUGACUUUUACUUUGAGGAAAUUAGAGUGUUCACGGCAGGCAAUCGCUUUGGAUACAUUAGCAUGGAAUAAUACUAUAGGACCUCGGUUCUAUUUUGUUGGUUUCUAGAGCUGAGGUAAUGAUUAAUAGGGAUAAUUGGGGGUCUUUGUAUUGCAACGUCAGAGGUGAAAUUCUUGGAUUGUUGCACGACAAACUACUGCGAAAGCAUUGACCAAGGAUGUUUUCA